Molecule: ribosomal RNA, 253 nt
Filed under: uncultured bacterium
Lineage: Bacteria
Description: partial 16S ribosomal RNA
Rfam family: Bacterial small subunit ribosomal RNA
Source: RNAcentral
CACGUAGGGCGCAAGCGUUGUCCGGAAUUAUUGGGCGUAAAGAGCUCGUAGGUGGUUUGUUACGUCUGCUGUGAAAACCUAGGGCUUAACCCUGGGCUUGCAGUGGAUACGGGCGGACUAGAGGUAGGUAGGGGAGAAUGGAAUUCCUGGUGUAGCGGUGAAAUGCGCAGAUAUCAGGAGGAACACCGGUGGCGAAGGCGGUUCUCUGGGCCUUACCUGACACUGAGGAGCGAAAGCGUGGGGAGCGAACAGG